GAGUUUGAUUCUGGCUCAGAACGAACGCUGGCGGCAGGCCUAACACAUGCAAGUCGAGCGCAGUCCUUCGGGACCGAGCGGCGGACGGGUUAGUAACGCGUGGGAACAUACCCUUUUCUACGGAAUAGCCUCGGGAAACUGAGAGUAAUACCGUAUAAGCCCUUCGGGGGAAAGAUUUAUCGGGAAAGGAUUGGCCCGCGUUAGAUUAGAUAGUUGGUGGGGUAAUGGCCUACCAAGUCUACGAUCUAUAGCUGGUUUUAGAGGAUGAUCAGCAACACUGGGACUGAGACACGGCCCAGACUCCUACGGGAGGCAGCAGUGGGGAAUCUUAGACAAUGGGCGCAAGCGUGAUCUAGCCAUGCCGCGUGUGUGAUGGAGGUCUUAGGAUCGUAAAGCACUUUCGCCAGGGAUGAUAAUGACAGUACCUGGUAAAGAAACCCCGGCUAACUCCGUGCCAGCAGCCGCGGUAAUACGGAGGGGGUUAGCGUUGUUCGGAAUUACUGGGCGUAAAGCGUACGUAGGCGGAUCAGAAAGUUAGGGGUGAAAUCCCGAGGCUCAACCUCGGAACUGCCUCUAAAACUCCUGGUCUUGAGUUCGAGAGAGGUGAGUGGAAUUCCAAGUGUAGAGGUGAAAUUCGUAGAUAUUUGGAGGAACACCAGUGGCGAAGGCGGCUCACUGGCUCGAUACUGACGCUGAGGUACGAAAGUGUGGGGAGCAAACAGGAUUAGAUACCCUGGUAGUCCACACCGUAAACGAUGAAUGCCAGUCGUCGGGCAGUAUACUGUUCGGUGACACACCUAACGGAUUAAGCAUUCCGCCUGGGAAGUACGGUCGCAAGAUUAAAACUCAAAGGAAUUGACGGGGGCCCGCACAAGCGGUGGAGCAUGUGGUUUAAUUUGAAGCAACGCGCAGAACCUUACCAACCCUUGACAUCCUGUGCUAACUCGAGAGAUCGAGUGUUUACUUCGGUAACGCAGUGACAGGUGCUGCAUGGCUGUAGUCAGCUCGUGUCGUGAGAUGUUCGGUUAAGUCCGGCAACGAGCGCAACCCACAUCCUUAGUUGCCAGCAGUUCGGCUGGGCACUCUAGGGAAACUGCCCGUGAUAAGCGGGAGGAAGGUGUGGAUGACGUCAAGUCCUCAUGGCCCUUACGGGUUGGGCUACACACGUGCUACAAUGACAGUGACAAUGGGUUAAUCCCAAAAAGCUGUCUCAGUUUGGAUUGGGGUCUGCAACUCGACCCCAUGAAGUCGGAAUCGCUAGUAAUCGCGUAACAGCAUGACGCGGUGAAUACGUUCCCGGGCCUUGUACACACCGCCCGUCACACCAUGGGAGUUGGUUCUACCCGACGACGCUGCGCUAACCCUUCGGGGAGGCAGGCGGCCACGGUAGGAUCAGCGACUGGGGUGAAGUUGUAACAAGGUAGCCGU
RNAcentral lists this ribosomal RNA (1428 nucleotides) under uncultured Sulfitobacter sp. Its description in RNAcentral is "bacterial SSU rRNA". It matches the Rfam family "Bacterial small subunit ribosomal RNA". The record is from RNAcentral. Lineage: Bacteria; Pseudomonadati; Pseudomonadota; Alphaproteobacteria; Rhodobacterales; Roseobacteraceae.